This 432-nucleotide ribosomal RNA is filed under the name uncultured bacterium. Its description in RNAcentral is "partial 16S ribosomal RNA". It matches the Rfam family "Bacterial small subunit ribosomal RNA", at positions 29 to 507 of the family's 1533-position model. The record is from RNAcentral.
AACGAACGCUGGCGGCAUGCCUAACACAUGCAAGUCGAACGAGACCUUCGGGUCUAGUGGCGCACGGGUGCGUAACGCGUGGGAACCUGCCCUUAGGUUCGGAAUAACUCCCCGAAAGGGGUGCUAAUACCGGAUAAUGUCUUCGGACCAAAGAUUUAUCGCCUUUGGAUGGGCCCGCGUUGGAUUAGCUAGUUGGUAGGGUAAAAGCCUACCAAGGCGACGAUCCAUAGCUGGUCUGAGAGGAUGAUCAGCCACACUGGGACUGAGACACGGCCCAGACUCCUGGGGGGGGCAGGAGGGGGGAAUAUAGGAGAGGGGGCGAAAUCCUGAACCACCACGGCCGGGAGGAUGAAAAGGGCUUUGGGUUUGAAAAUCUCUUUUGCCGGAGAUGAUAAGAAGAGAACGGGGAGAAUAGACCCCGCCAACCUCGGU